UACGGAGGAUGCGAGCGUUAUCCGGAUUUAUUGGGUUUAAAGGGUGCGUAGGCGGGCUUUUAAGUCAGCGGUAAAAAUUCGGGACUCAACCCCGUCCGGCCGUUGAAACUGGGGGCCUUGAGUGGGCGAGAAGAAGGCGGAAUGCGUGGUGUAGCGGUGAAAUGCAUAGAUAUCACGCAGAACCCCGAUUGCGAAGGCAGCCUUCCGGCGCCCUACUGACGCUGAGGCACGAAAGUGCGGGGAUCGAACGGG
Molecule: ribosomal RNA, 252 nt
Filed under: uncultured bacterium
Lineage: Bacteria
Description: partial 16S ribosomal RNA
Rfam family: Bacterial small subunit ribosomal RNA
Source: RNAcentral